GAAGGUGUGCUGUGAGGCAUGCUGGAGGUAUCAGAAGUGCGAAUGCUGACAUAAGUAACGAUAAAGCGGGUGAAAAGCCCGCUCGCCGGAAGACCAAGGGUUCCUGUCCAACGUUAAUCGGGGCAGGGUGAGUCGACCCCUAAGGCGAGGCCGAAAGGCGUAGUCGAUGGGAAACAGGUUAAUAUUCCUGUACUUGGUGUUACUGCGAAGGGGGGACGGAGAAGGCUAUGUUGGCCGGGCGACGGUUGUCCCGGUUUAAGCGUGUAGGCUGGUUUUCCAGGCAAAUCCGGAAAAUCAAGGCUGAGGCGUGAUGACGAGGCACUACGGUGCUGAAGCAACAAAUGCCCUGCUUCCAGGAAAAGCCUCUAAGCAUCAGGUAACAUCAAAUCGUACCCCAAACCGACACAGGUGGUCAGGUAGAGAAUACCAAGGCGCUUGAGAGAACUCGGGUGAAGGAACUAGGCAAAAUGGUGCCGUAACUUCGGGAGAAGGCACGCUGAUAUGUAGGUGAAGUCCCUCGCGGAUGGAGCUGAAAUCAGUCGAAGAUACCAGCUGGCUGCAACUGUUUAUUAAAAACACAGCACUGUGCAAACACGAAAGUGGACGUAUACGGUGUGACGCCUGCCCGGUGCCGGAAGGUUAAUUGAUGGGGUUAGCCGCAAGGCGAAGCUCUUGAUCGAAGCCCCGGUAAACGGCGGCCGUAACUAUAACGGUCCUAAGGUAGCGAAAUUCCUUGUCGGGUAAGUUCCGACCUGCACGAAUGGCGUAAUGAUGGCCAGGCUGUCUCCACCCGAGACUCAGUGAAAUUGAACUCGCUGUGAAGAUGCAGUGUACCCGCGGCAAGACGGAAAGACCCCGUGAACCUUUACUAUAGCUUGACACUGAACAUUGAGCCUUGAUGUGUAGGAUAGGUGGGAGGCUUUGAAGUGUGGACGCCAGUCUGCAUGGAGCCGACCUUGAAAUACCACCCUUUAAUGUUUGAUGUUCUAACGUUGACCCGUAAUCCGGGUUGCGGACAGUGUCUGGUGGGUAGUUUGACUGGGGCGGUCUCCUCCUAAAGAGUAACGGAGGAGCACGAAGGUUGGCUAAUCCUGGUCGGACAUCAGGAGGUUAGUGCAAUGGCAUAAGCCAGCUUGACUGCGAGCGUGACGGCGCGAGCAGGUGCGAAAGCAGGUCAUAGUGAUCCGGUGGUUCUGAAUGGAAGGGCCAUCGCUCAACGGAUAAAAGGUACUCCGGGGAUAACAGGCUGAUACCGCCCAAGAGUUCAUAUCGACGGCGGUGUUUGGCACCUCGAUGUCGGCUCAUCACAUCCUGGGGCUGAAGUAGGUCCCAAGGGUAUGGCUGUUCGCCAUUUAAAGUGGUACGCGAGCUGGGUUUAGAACGUCGUGAGACAGUUCGGUCCCUAUCUGCCGUGGGCGCUGGAGAACUGAGGGGGGCUGCUCCUAGUACGAGAGGACCGGAGUGGACGCAUCACUGGUGUUCGGGUUGUCAUGCCAAUGGCACUGCCCGGUAGCUAAAUGCGGAAGAGAUAAGUGCUGAAAGCAUCUAAGCACGAAACUUGCCCCGAGAUGAGUUCUCCCUGACUCCUUGAGAGUCCUGAAGGAACGUUGAAGACGACGACGUUGAUAGGCCGGGUGUGUAAGCGCAGCGAUGCGUUGAGCUAACCGGUACUAAUGAACCGUGAGGCUUAACC
This 1693-nucleotide ribosomal RNA is filed under the name Escherichia coli. RNAcentral's name for it is "bacterial LSU rRNA". It matches the Rfam family "Bacterial large subunit ribosomal RNA", at positions 1252 to 2925 of the family's 2925-position model. Lineage: Bacteria; Pseudomonadati; Pseudomonadota; Gammaproteobacteria; Enterobacterales; Enterobacteriaceae. The record is from RNAcentral.